UACGUAGGGGGCAAGCGUUGUCCGGAAUCAUUGGGCGUAAAGCGCGUGUAGGCGGUCCGGUAAGUCCGCCGUGAAAGUCGGGGGCUCAACCCUCGAAUGCCGGUGGAUACUGUCGGGCUAGAGUGCGGAAGAGGCGAGUGGAAUUCCUGGUGUAGCGGUGAAAUGCGCAGAUAUCAGGAGGAACACCAAUUGCGAAGGCAGCUCGCUGGGACGUUACUGACGCUGAGACGCGAAAGCGUGGGGAGCAAACAGG
RNAcentral lists this ribosomal RNA (253 nucleotides) under uncultured bacterium. Its description in RNAcentral is "partial 16S ribosomal RNA". It matches the Rfam family "Bacterial small subunit ribosomal RNA", at positions 524 to 776 of the family's 1533-position model. The record is from RNAcentral.